AUUGAACGCUGGCGGAAUGCUUUACACAUGCAAGUCGAACGGCAGCACGGACUUCGGUCUGGUGGCGAGUGGCGAACGGGUGAGUAAUAUAUCGGAACGUGCCCAGUCGUGGGGGAUAACGUAGUGAAAAUUACGCUAAUACCGCAUACGAUCUAAGGAUGAAAGCGGGGGAUCGCAAGACCUCGCGCGAUUGGAGCGGCCGAUAUCAGAUUAGGUAGUUGGUAGGGUAAAGGCCUACCAAGCCAACGAUCUGUAGCUGGUCUGAGAGGACGACCAGCCACACUGGAACUGAGAACCGGUCCAGACUCCUACGGGAGGCAGCAGUGGGGAAUUUUGGAAAAUGGGCGCAAGCCUGAUCCAGCCAUUCCGCGUGCAGGAUGAAGGCCCUCGGGUUGUAAACUGCUUUUGUACAGAACGAAAAGGUUUCUACUAAUACUAGGAGCUCAUGACGGUACUGUAAGAAUAAGCACCGGCUAACUACGUGCCAGCCGCCGCCGUAG
This 500-nucleotide ribosomal RNA is filed under the name uncultured bacterium. RNAcentral describes it as "partial 16S ribosomal RNA". It matches the Rfam family "Bacterial small subunit ribosomal RNA", at positions 30 to 523 of the family's 1533-position model. The record is from RNAcentral.